RNAcentral lists this non-coding RNA (170 nucleotides) under uncultured Turicibacter sp. The record is from RNAcentral. Lineage: Bacteria; Bacillati; Bacillota; Erysipelotrichia; Erysipelotrichales; Turicibacteraceae.
CUCUGCGAGGAGGAAUCUGAAGGAAGUCCGUGGGCAAACUUCUGGUCUGACGAACAGGAAUCACAUCAGGCAGGAUACAAGGAUAAGACUGCAUAACAAGUUAAAGUCCAAUAGCUACACAGAAAAAAAAUGUAUGUUGUAAAUGUGGCAGAUAGAUGGAAGGGAAGAUA